UGUGUAGGCGGUUGUUUAAGUUUGGUGUGAAAUCUCCCGGCUCAACUGGGAGGGUGCGCCGAAUACUGAAUGACUUGGAGUGCGGGAGAGGAAAGUGGAAUUCCUGGUGUAGCGGUGAAAUGCGUAGAUAUCAGGAGGAACACCGGUGGUGUAGACGGCUUUCUGGACCGUAACUGACGCUGAGACACGAAAGCGUGGGUAGCAAACA
Molecule: ribosomal RNA, 208 nt
Filed under: uncultured bacterium
Lineage: Bacteria
Description: partial 16S ribosomal RNA
Rfam family: Bacterial small subunit ribosomal RNA
Source: RNAcentral